RNAcentral lists this ribosomal RNA (432 nucleotides) under uncultured bacterium. Its description in RNAcentral is "partial 16S ribosomal RNA". It matches the Rfam family "Bacterial small subunit ribosomal RNA", at positions 29 to 506 of the family's 1533-position model. The record is from RNAcentral.
AACGAACGCUGGCGGCAUGCCUAACACAUGCAAGUCGAACGAGACCUUCGGGUCUAGUGGCGCACGGGUGCGUAACGCGUGGGAACCUGCCCUUAGGUUCGGAAUAACUCCCCGAAAGGGGUGCUAAUACCGGAUAAUGUCUUCGGACCAAAGAUUUAUCGCCUUUGGAUGGGCCCGCGUUGGAUUAGCUAGUUGGUAGGGUAAAAGCCUACCAAGGCGACGAUCCAUAGCUGGUCUGAGAGGAUGAUCAGCCACACUGGGACUGGGACACGGCCCAGACUCCUACGGGAGGCAGCAGUGGGGAAGAUUGGACAAUGGGCGAAAGCCUGAUCCAGCAAGGCCGCGUGAGUGAUGAAGGCCUUAGGGUUGUAAAGCUCUUUUACCCGGGAUGAUAAUGACAGGACCGGGAGAAUAAGCACCGGCGAACUCCGU